UACAGAGGGUGCAAGCGUUUGUUCGGAAUUACUGGGCGUAAAGGGCGCGUAGGCGGUUUGGUAAGUCAGAUGUGAAAAGCCCGGGGCUCAACCCCGGAAGUGCAUUUGAAACUACCAGACUAGAGUGCAGUAGAGAAUGGCGGAAUUCCCAGUGGAGAGGUGAAAUUCGUAGAUAUUGGGAGGAACACCGGUGGCGAAGGCGGCCAUUUGGGCUGUAACUGACGCUGAGGCGCGAAAGCGUGGGUAGCAAACAGG
This 255-nucleotide ribosomal RNA is filed under the name uncultured bacterium. RNAcentral's name for it is "partial 16S ribosomal RNA". It matches the Rfam family "Bacterial small subunit ribosomal RNA", at positions 524 to 776 of the family's 1533-position model. The record is from RNAcentral.